RNAcentral lists this ribosomal RNA (465 nucleotides) under uncultured bacterium. RNAcentral's name for it is "partial 16S ribosomal RNA". It matches the Rfam family "Bacterial small subunit ribosomal RNA", at positions 28 to 507 of the family's 1533-position model. The record is from RNAcentral.
GAUGAACGCUGGCGGCGUGCUUAACACAUGCAAGUCGAACGGAAAGGCUCCUGCUUGCAGGGGUACUCGAGUGGCGAACGGGUGAGUAACACGUGGGUGAUCUGCCCUGCACUUCGGGAUAAGCCUGGGAAACUGGGUCUAAUACCGGAUAGGACGAUGGUUUGGAUGCCAUUGUGGAAAGUUUUUCGGUGUGGGAUGAGCUGGCGGCCUAUCAGCUUGUUGUUGGGGUAAUGGCCUACCAAGGCGUCGACGGGUAGCCGGCCUGAGAGGGUGUACGGCCACAUUGGGACUGAGAGAGGGCCCAGACUGCUACGGGAGGCAGCAGUGGGGAAUAUUGCACAAUGGGCGCAAGCCUGAUGCAGCGACGCUGGGUGGGGGAUGACGGCCUUCGGGUUGUAAACUCCUUUCGCAAGGGACGAAGCGCAAGUGACGGUACCUGGAGAAGAAGCACCGGCUAACUACGUG